ACUUGGUGCGAGAGGGACAUCAACACGAAUCAUACAUAUCAUGACAUCAGUUCCAUCAUAAUGGAAACCUGCUGAUAUGAUGGGGUGUUAAAUCUAAUAAGAAACAUAUAACGUUAUGUUAGAUAAAGGUAAAUAUUAUCAGGUGUAUAGUAAUGUAACAUUUGACAUCACAAUUUUACAGAAGGUUCCCGAAGAAAGACACAGACACGACCACUAUAGUUAGAGCCUAAGGCCCAUAUGUUUAAAAUCACGAUCGUAGAAGCUUUAAGGAUGCGAUGUAGACGAUCCCUGACUGGCUUGUUCUACCUGCUGACAUGUACAGCAGGUGAGGUCUGACCGUCGUGAGGCAUGACGUAACGUCUGACUAGCCCGUUCCCCAUCCUGACAUGUACUACAGGUGAAGUCAUACAGGUGAAGUCAUACAGGUCGUGAGACAUUGCGUAACCUCUGACUGGCCUGUUCCUGUGCUACAGGUGAAGUCAUACAGGUCGUGAGACAUUGCGUAACCUCUGACUGGCCUGUUCCUGUGCUACAGGUGAAGUCAUACAGGUCGUGAGACAUUGCGUAACCUCUGACUGGCCUGUUCCCCUUGCUGACAUGUACUACAGGUGAAGUCAUACAGACCGUGAGACAUGACGUAACCUCUGACUAGCCCGUUCCCCUUGCUGACAUGCACUACAGGUGAAGUCAUACAGGUCGUGAGGCAUGGCGUACAACGGCAGGUACAUCCGGGGCCUGGGCUGGGCCCUUGUUGUGCUGGGUUCCCUCAGCAUGAUCCUGGGCAGCGCGGCGGACGCCAUCUCUCCACCA
This is a long non-coding RNA of Branchiostoma floridae (Florida lancelet), 810 nucleotides long. RefSeq lists it as uncharacterized. The record is from RefSeq and is a predicted model, not a curated record. The transcript has 3 exons. Lineage: Eukaryota; Metazoa; Chordata; Leptocardii; Amphioxiformes; Branchiostomatidae.